GACAGAGGUGCCGAGCGUUAGGCGGAAUCACUGGGCUUAAAGCGUGUGUAGGCGGACUUCUAAGUACCUUGUGAAAGCCCGGGGCUCAACUCCGGAAUUGCCUUUAAGACUGCAUCGCUAGAAUUGUGGAGAGGUAAGUGGAAUUCCGAGUGUAGAGGUGAAAUUCGUAGAUAUUCGGAAGAACACCAGUGGCGAAGGCGACUUACUGGACACAUAUUGACGCUGAGGUGCGAAAGCGUGGGGAGCAAACAGG
Molecule: ribosomal RNA, 253 nt
Filed under: uncultured bacterium
Lineage: Bacteria
Description: partial 16S ribosomal RNA
Rfam family: Bacterial small subunit ribosomal RNA
Source: RNAcentral